AGCGAACGCUGGCGGCAGGCCUAACACAUGCAAGUCGAACGAACCUUUCGGGGUUAGUGGCGGACGGGUGAGUAACACGUGGGAACGUUCCUUUAGGUUCGGAAUAACUCAGUGAAACUUGUGCUAAUACCGAAUGUGCCCUUCGGGGGAAAGAUUUAUCGCCUUUAGAGCGGCCCGCGUCUGAUUAGCUAGUUGGUUGAGGUAAUGGCUCACCAAGGCGACGAUCAGUAGCUGGUCUGAGAGGAUGAUCAGCCACAUUGGGACUGAGACACGGCCCAAACGCCUACGGGAGGAAGCAGUGGGGAAUCUUGCGCAAUGGGCGAAAGCCUGACGCAGCCAUGCCGCGUGAAUGAUGAAGGUCUUAGGAUUGUAAAAUUCUUUCACAGGGGACGAUAAUGACGGUAACCGGAGAAGAAGCCCCGGCUAACUUCGUG
This 434-nucleotide ribosomal RNA is filed under the name uncultured bacterium. Its description in RNAcentral is "partial 16S ribosomal RNA". It matches the Rfam family "Bacterial small subunit ribosomal RNA", at positions 29 to 507 of the family's 1533-position model. The record is from RNAcentral.